Molecule: long non-coding RNA, 354 nt
Filed under: Cricetulus griseus (Chinese hamster)
Lineage: Eukaryota; Metazoa; Chordata; Mammalia; Rodentia; Cricetidae
Description: lncRNA (ENSCGRG00000024883.1)
Source: RNAcentral
CUUUCUUGUAGAUAUGACAUGACUAUUGCACCUGAGAACUCACAGCAAUUACCUGCACAAGACUAACCCCAUCAACAUUCAAUCACAAAUGGGAGGAGCUCAUGAGACUGCACCUUUCCCUGAAAAAGUAUAGGCACUUAAUGGUUCCUGGGGGAGGAGCAAUCGUUCCUGUGUGGUGACACUUGCAAUCUGACAGCAAGAUCUUCCAACAGGCAGAGUGGAUCACAAAUCAUUAGGUGGGAGGAAAGCAUGUCACCAGAGAUUUCCUUUGAAUUAGCCUUUGCAGUCAGUGACAAGUCCCUUAAUACCCCUGGAGCUACAGUGUCUUUAUCUAUCAAAGAAGUUUACUCCAGC